AAAUUGAAGAGUUUGAUCAUGGCUCAGAUUGAACGCUGGCGGCAGGCCUAACACAUGCAAGUCGAACGGUAACAGGAAGCAGCUUGCUGCUUUGCUGACGAGUGGCGGACGGGUGAGUAAUGUCUGGGAAACUGCCUGAUGGAGGGGGAUAACUACUGGAAACGGUAGCUAAUACCGCAUAACGUCGCAAGACCAAAGAGGGGGACCUUCGGGCCUCUUGCCAUCGGAUGUGCCCAGAUGGGAUUAGCUAGUAGGUGGGGUAAAGGCUCACCUAGGCGACGAUCCCUAGCUGGUCUGAGAGGAUGACCAGCCACACUGGAACUGAGACACGGUCCAGACUCCUACGGGAGGCAGCAGUGGGGAAUAUUGCACAAUGGGCGCAAGCCUGAUGCAGCCAUGCCGCGUGUAUG
Molecule: ribosomal RNA, 410 nt
Filed under: Escherichia coli
Lineage: Bacteria; Pseudomonadati; Pseudomonadota; Gammaproteobacteria; Enterobacterales; Enterobacteriaceae
Description: bacterial SSU rRNA
Rfam family: Bacterial small subunit ribosomal RNA
Source: RNAcentral